GACGAACGCUGGCGGCGUGCCUAAUACAUGCAAGUAGAACGCUGAAGGAGGAGAUUGCUUCUCUGGAUGAGUUGCGAACGGGUGAGUAACGCGUAGGGAACCUGCCUGGUAGCGGGGGAGAACUAUUGGAAACGAUAGCUAAUACCGCAUAAUAGUAGAUGUUGCAUGACAUUUGCUUAAAAGGUGCAAUUGCAUCACUACCAGAUGGAACUGCGUUGUAUUUUCUAGGUGGGGGGGGAAAGGCUCACAAAGGCGAAGAUACAUAGCCGACCUGAGAGGGGGAACCGCCACACUGGGACCGGGACACGGCCCAGACUCCUACGGGAGGCAGCAGUAGGGUAUCUUCCGCCAAGGGCGGAAGUCUGAACGGGCAAAGCCGGGUGAGUGAAGAAGGUUUUCGGAUUCUAAAGCUCUGUUGUAAGAGAAGAACGAGUGUGAGAGUGGAAAGUUCACACUGUGACGGUAACUUACCAGAAAGGGAAGGCUAACUACGUG
RNAcentral lists this ribosomal RNA (495 nucleotides) under uncultured bacterium. Its description in RNAcentral is "partial 16S ribosomal RNA". It matches the Rfam family "Bacterial small subunit ribosomal RNA", at positions 28 to 507 of the family's 1533-position model. The record is from RNAcentral.